RNAcentral lists this ribosomal RNA (460 nucleotides) under uncultured bacterium. RNAcentral describes it as "partial 16S ribosomal RNA". It matches the Rfam family "Bacterial small subunit ribosomal RNA", at positions 338 to 795 of the family's 1533-position model. The record is from RNAcentral.
CCUACGGGGAGCUGCAGUGAGGAAUAUUGGUCAAUGGGCGGGAGCCUGAACCAGCCAAGUCGCGUGAGGGAAGACGGUCCUAUGGAUUGUAAACCUCUUUAGGCGGGGAGCAAUGCCGGGCACGUGUGCGCGGAGGGAGAUUACCCGCAGCAUAAGCAUCGGCUAACUCCGUGCCAGCAGCCGCGGUAAUACGGGGGAUGCGAGCGUUUUCCGGAUUUAUUGGGUUAAAGGGGUGCGUAGGCGGAUGUUUAAGUCAGCGGUAAACUGUCCGGGCUCAACCCGGGACGGUCGUUGAAACUGGGGAUCUUGAGUGGGCGAGAAGUAUGCGGAAUGCGGGGUGUAGCGGUGAAAGGCAUAGAUAUCACGCAGAACUCCGAUUGCGAAGGCAGCAUACCGGCGCCCGACUGACGCUGAGGCACGAAAGCGUGGGGAUCGAACAGGAUUAGAUACCCCUGUAGUC